UAUUUAUUGCGAGCACCUGGAGAUUUUGAAUAGGCGUCCUUUCGAAGCCUUAUCACAUAGUAUAUUACAACGAUGAUGUUCGCUAUUUGCCAAUUACGUUAUUAGUAGAUAAUGCGCAUACACUGCGUGUGGUUAUAGAAAGGGAAUUUCGGAAUCGUUGAAAGAUCGAUCGCGAUCUUUCAUGCUGUUGUCUUUUGACCGACCAAAGUAGCAGACGUUUCUCGUGUUUUGCUGGGACAUACACGAUGAGGCUUGGAAUUUGAUUAUCAAACUCGAUUCUUCUUAGGAAAAAAAUUUCUCGUAGAACUUGAUGAUAUCGAGAGAAUUUAUUUUAACAUGUAUUACAUCCAGUAACGGUUGGAUUUAAUAUAGAUCAGUACGUACAGAAAUUAUUGAUAAUAAAAUUUUUAUACGAGAUAUUAUAUUCAUCAAACGUAAAUACUAGAAAUUCAGUCAAGACGGCACACAAGAAGAUGAAUUUUAAAAUAAGCUUAUUACUCGUACCUGCUGCCUUCAGCGUGUUUACGCAUGAGACACCAGUAUCUCCUUCUUGUGGGAGAACGCAGAUGAUGCCUAGAAAAUGUUACUAUGAGUUAGACCAUGGUGAAUGCUAUGCCUAUCCAUGGAAGAAUGUAGUGAGAUAUUGGUAUAAUGUGACCGAUGGAACAUGUAUACCUUUUGUUAGAUACUCUUGUUCUGGUGGAAAUGAAAAUAAUUUUGCAACAAAUCUGGAUUGCAUGACUACAUGCUGUCACAGAUACAUACCUUUCUAAAGUUCCAAAUUUGAAAUCUUUUGAUAAUUGAUAAGUAUUUGUAAUAGUUAAAUAUUAAGUUUCAAUAGAAGUACUAAUUAAACAACUCUGUGGUCUUUAUUAAAUACUUGUAAAAGUGUUUUAUUUUUAUGUUAAAUAACUGUAAUA
Molecule: non-coding RNA, 920 nt
Organism: Linepithema humile (Argentine ant)
Lineage: Eukaryota; Metazoa; Arthropoda; Insecta; Hymenoptera; Formicidae
Source: RefSeq, a predicted model, not a curated record